AUUGAACGCUGGCGGCAUGCCUUACACAUGCAAGUCGAACGGUAACAGGUCUUCGGAUGCUGACGAGUGGCGAACGGGUGAGUAAUACAUCGGAACGUGCCCGAUCGUGGGGGAUAACGGAGCGAAAGCUUUGCUAAUACCGCAUACGAUCUACGGAUGAAAGCAGGGGACCGCAAGGCCUUGCGCGGACGGAGCGGCCGAUGGCAGAUUAGGUAGUUGGUGGGAUAAAAGCUUACCAAGCCGACGAUCUGUAGCUGGUCUGAGAGGACGACCAGCCACACUGGGACUGAGACACGGCCCAGACUCCUACGGGAGGCAGCAGUGGGGAAUUUUGGACAAUGGGCUAAAGCCUGAUCCAGCCAUGCCGCGUGCAGGAUGAAGGCCUUCGGGUUGUAAACUGCUUUUGUACGGAACGAAAAGACUCUUUCUAAUAAAGAGGGUCCAUGACGGUACCGUAAGAAUAAGCACCGGCUAACUACGUG
This 482-nucleotide ribosomal RNA is filed under the name uncultured bacterium. Its description in RNAcentral is "partial 16S ribosomal RNA". It matches the Rfam family "Bacterial small subunit ribosomal RNA", at positions 30 to 507 of the family's 1533-position model. The record is from RNAcentral.